RNAcentral lists this ribosomal RNA (497 nucleotides) under uncultured bacterium. RNAcentral describes it as "partial 16S ribosomal RNA". It matches the Rfam family "Bacterial small subunit ribosomal RNA", at positions 28 to 507 of the family's 1533-position model. The record is from RNAcentral.
GAUGAACGCUGGCGGCGUGCUUAAUACAUGCAAGUCGAGCGAACGGACGAAAAUUUUCCUGUUCUGAUGUUGCGGCCGGCCGGGUAAUAAACAGGUGAUUAACCUACCAAUAAGACUGGGAUAACUUCGGGAAACCUUAGUAAAUACCGGAUAAUAUUUUAACCCGCUGGGUUCAAAAGUGAAUACGGGUCUGGCGGUCCCUUUUGGAUGAAUCCGCGCUGCAUUAGCUAGUUGGUAAGUUAACGCCUUACCAAGGCACCGAUGCAUAGCCGACCUGAGAGGGUGAUCGGCCACACUGGAACUGAGACACGGUCCAGACUCCUACGGGAGGCAGCAGUAGGGAAUCUUCCGCAAUGGGCGAAAGCCUGACGGAGCAACGCCGCGUGAGUGAUGAAGGUCUUCGGAUCGUAAAACUCUGUUAUUAGGGAAGAACAUAUGUGUAAGUAACUGUGCACAUCUUGACGGUACCUAAUCAGAAAGCCACGGCUAACUACGUG